UUCAAAUCUGAUUUCAAAAUCAAAUACUAAAAUUACAUUUUCUAAUAAAAAGCUUCAGUUACUUUUUGUUGUUCGAGUAUAUCUAAUGGUUCAUCAAAAAAAUGUACUCAAACUCAAAGUAUGGUUGUAUUUAAACCUUUCAACCUGGGUUAAUCAUUAACAUUUAUUACUGAUUAUCAUUGUAUAUCAGUUAAACACUUCCAAGUUUAACAAAUAUCCUCUUUUGGCUUUUACUUUGACAUGGAAAACCCAUGCAUUCAAUACCUAUCACAGGUACUAUGGCAGUUGUGUUAAUAACUUAAACUGUAUUGUAUACUAAUAACUUUUUAUUAAAAUAGGUUGGAAACAUGUGAAGGAGAGACCUCUCAGGACCAUAUAGGCUUUAAGUAGAUUACUGUAAGUGAUGGAGAGCAAGUUUGGAAGUAAAUGCCAAAGCACAAAGCUCCAUUGGUCUAGAGCUCAUAUUGAAAAUACAACCAAGGCUGCCGUAGGAAUGGUCAUCACCAGAUGGCUUGUACAAAGCAAACUGAGACACACAAGAUAAGAAACUUUAGUAUACCAUAUAUUUUAAUAGUAUUUUGGCAAAUUAUAUAUCAUAUCAUAAUCA
Homalodisca vitripennis (glassy-winged sharpshooter) is the source of this 607-nucleotide long non-coding RNA. RefSeq lists it as uncharacterized. The record is from RefSeq and is a predicted model, not a curated record. NCBI's taxonomy places the organism in Eukaryota, Metazoa, Arthropoda, Insecta, Hemiptera, Cicadellidae. The transcript is spliced from 2 exons.